Molecule: ribosomal RNA, 636 nt
Filed under: Metarhizium flavoviride
Lineage: Eukaryota; Fungi; Ascomycota; Sordariomycetes; Hypocreales; Clavicipitaceae
Description: eukaryotic LSU rRNA
Rfam family: 5.8S ribosomal RNA (bases 240-393)
Source: RNAcentral
GGAAGUAAAAGUCGUAACAAGGUCUCCGUUGGUGAACCAGCGGAGGGAUCAUUACCGAGUUUACAACUCCCAAACCCCUGUGAACUUAUACCAUUUUUACCGUUGCUUCGGCGGGUUUCGCCCCGGGACAGGCUCGUUAGGGCCUACCCGGAACCAGGCGCCCGCCGGAGGACCCCGAUAAACUCUGUAUUUUUUUUUUUACUUUAUGGCAUGUCUGAGUGUUAAAAAAAAUGAAUCAAAACUUUCAACAACGGAUCUCUUGGUUCUGGCAUCGAUGAAGAACGCAGCGAAAUGCGAUAAGUAAUGUGAAUUGCAGAAUUCAGUGAAUCAUCGAAUCUUUGAACGCACAUUGCGCCCGCCAGUAUUCUGGCGGGCAUGCCUGUUCGAGCGUCAUUUCACCCCUCAGCCCCUGUGGUUUGGUGUUGGGGACCGGCGAUAGUGCUCUGCUCCGGCAGGCGCACGCCGCCCCCAAAAUGAAUUGGCGGUCUCGUCGCGGCCUCCUCUGCGUAGUAGCACAAAACCUCGCAACAGGAGCGCGGCGCGGACACUGCCGCAAAACGCCCCGACUUCUCUUAGAGCUGACCUCGAAUCAGGUAGGAAUACCCGUUGAACUUAAGCAUAUCAAUAAGCGGAGGA